This 403-nucleotide ribosomal RNA is filed under the name uncultured bacterium. RNAcentral describes it as "partial 16S ribosomal RNA". It matches the Rfam family "Bacterial small subunit ribosomal RNA", at positions 30 to 526 of the family's 1533-position model. The record is from RNAcentral.
AUUGAACGCUGGCGGCAGGCUUAACACAUGCAAGUCGAGCGAGCGGCGGACGGGUGAGUAAUGUAUGGGGACUGCCCGAUAGAGGGGGAUAACUACUGGAAACGGUAGCUAAUACCGCAUACUAUCGGAUAACCCAUAUGGGAUUAGCGAGUAGGUGAGGUAAUGGCUCACCUAGGCGACGAUCCCUAGCUGGUCUGGGAGGAUGAUCAGCCACACGGGAACUGGGACACGGCCCAGACUCCUACGGGGGCGGCAGUGGGGAAUAUUGCACAAUGGGCGCAGGCCUGAUGCAGCCAUGCCGCGUGUAUGAAAAAGGCCCUAGGGUUGUAAGGUACUUUCAGUCGGGAGGCGUUACCGACAGAGAAAGCACCGGCUAACUCCGUGCCAGCAGCCGCGGUAAUAC